UGCCCUGGCAGAAAGUUAGUGUCAGGAUCCACAUGGGUGAUAAUAGAAUCAAGGUGGGCACCGCAGCCAUGAGAACGUGGAGGGGAAUUUUCAGUCCCUGUCCCCUCCCCCCCCCCCAGGGGAGCUGAGGGGGCCCCAAGCCACGGCCGGGCGCAGAGGCUACGACUCUCAAAGUCCUCGUGGGGAGUGACCUCGCGUCACCCUUCCCCAUGCCACCCGCGCUGCCCCGUUCUGCUCACCCAAGAAAGACCUCAUGCCAACACUGUAAUCAAUUAGCCCCGAGGAAUGGACAAAGGGGGUCGGGAAAUUAAUUUGGGUUUUCUCUCCCGAGGCCCUGCCUGGCAGCCAGCUCUCCCAACACCCACAUGUCCCAACUGCUCCGUCCAUCAGCUCUUGUCCAACUUAACUAUUCAUUUUAUGUAUUUUAAUUUGGGCAGAACAUUUAUUUGGCUUAAAUCUCCUUUUCAGGGGUUGGAAUGUGCCUUCCACACACAGGCAGAGAUGCUCUGCUCGAAUUUCGUCAGGAGUUUAGUUUACAAAGAUAGUAACUGAGCUAUUAAAACCAACAACCCCUUUUAAAGCAAACAGACCAUUAAAAUAUAGGAACAGUUUAUGGCAUAAAUAAAAUGGGGGAUAUAGAUUAUUUAAAGAUAAGAUUUUCAAGAAACAGGGAUAAAAAAACAUUUAAAUAAUUUCUCCACGAUAUAUUUUUUUUUUCUUUACAAAGUGAACUUCAAAAUGCAAAUGCAAAUUAAAAAGAAAGGCACAGAAAGACAUUAAAAAUCCAUCUUCUUAGUGAAGGCAUACAAAAAAGGCUUGACUUUUCCUUCUAGAUCUGUAGAUGAUUUCUGAGGGGCGGGGUGCAGGGAACUACUUGAAUUCAUAAAUGGCAGGAUUUACCCAGCUUGGGAAGCCACAUUGUGGAAAAAGAAGCGAGACAUUUGCUUCUAGAUCAUUCUCUCGAGCCGGCUGACAGAUACAAUAAUUUCGUCCAUUAGUCCGAUCCAUUGUCUUCCUUCGGCACAGAAGUCCUGUACCGCGGAGGGAGAGACAGCCCUGCCCCUCCACGGCCACCCGGCAGGCUGUGCCUACCCGGCACUUCCUCCUCUUUUCCAGGAAACACUUCUUACUUACCAUUCCCCUGCGCUCCGGCGUUGACUCUCGGAGACGCCGUGGAGAAGGCGAGCUUGACUUCUGUGCUCAGAAGAUGCUCUCUUGAGCGUCCGACAGAUGUUCGACGGCUGGCCGAGGGCGCGCACUUCUGGCUACUGGGUGAUGGCCUGCUCAGACCCCCCCCCCCACCACACACACACACCGUGCAGGGCCAGGGCUGGGAGGGUCCUUGCACACCUUUGAACGUCACUGCACAGAUGGGGAUGCUGAGGCACAGAGAGGCUCUGAGUUCCCAGGCUGCUUCUCUUUCCCCUCGGCCAAGCAUCCAGACUGGAAGGUCCUUCGAGUGAACACGAGGCAUCCGGUCCACCUCCCUGCACGGGAAGUGAGCCUUCCAUUAUCGGAGCUGGCCCAGGGCUUGGCACACAGAAAGCACCCACUAAACGUUUGCUGCGUUCAUGAAAAAAGGCACCACUGCCACAGCCAGACUUUCCCUUUGCCGGGACGCCUGGGAGUCAGCGACAAAAGGCCUGCUCUCACCGGAGCAGGAUGUUCCUUUGUUCUGAGAGCUGGGUGUCCCCAGGUGAGCACCGUAUCCCUCACAGCUAAAGGGACAGGGUGUCCCCAUUCUCACCCAGCCCCUCAGCCUGGCCCAUGGGAGACACUCGGCCAACGUGUUUUCUCUCGUCUCAGGAGACAGAGGCUCGUUUUCCUCCCGGAAGAAGGGCUACCUGAAAAUGAACGCAUGUUUUUAAAAACCACUGCACUGGGGGGCACCUUGGGAGGGCACACCCAGAGGCCAGCGGGUGCUGAGGCUGAGUCCCGCGCGGCCCCAGAUCCUGAGUGCACUCAGGAGGAGGGGGCAGCCAACUGCCGAGCCUUUAUUAAUGUCAUCCGUCUGUACUUAGACGAGGUACAAGAGAUUACAAGGGCUGAACUGGGUGUGGGCGAGGCUGGUGAGUGUGACCAUGACUCGGGCAGAGGCCCAGCCUGGGCAGGACAAGAGAGGAACCCAGGCUGGUGGGUGGGGCGCAUGAGUUCUCGGCCGGGUCUCAGAAAUCGGGCGGAGUGCCAGGGCCAAGGAGAAGGGGUCCCCAGCCCCUGAGCUCAGUUCACGAGAGGGUGCAGAGGCUGGGGACCUGAGCCUGCAGGGGACAAAAGUCUGCGCCCUCAGCACUUAAAGUGGGAAGUCAGCACAGGGCAGGGCAGAGGAUAUGCCAAAGACUCAUACCUUCAAUGCUGUUCUAAUUCUUAAAAGUCGAAUCAGAAGAGUCGUCCCCUCUUUUCCCCCAACUGGGCCCAUAUCUGUCCGCCUGGAGCUAUUUCAGCCACACGGGAGACCUGAGUUCUGGGCUUGGCCCUAUUAGGGUUCUCCCAAGGUCCUGGACAGAACAGCGAGCCCAGGCCCGGCUAUGUGAUGCUUUGAGGGGUCUGGUGGGGUUGGGUGGGGGCCACAUGAAUGAUCACAAAAGAGCUACCUUCCCUCUCUCUAAGUUUCCGGCUCCGUGUGCAAACACUGGCCGGUCCUGUCCACGCCCGACAGUUACAAGAAAGAGGGUUUCCGGAGAACGUGGUCUCCUGGUUUUCUUCCUUAUUUUGAGCAGAAGCAGAGUGAGACCAGAAGCCGGAGGCAGGCCCGAGGGCAACCCCAGCGGAUAUCCUGGGCGUCCACUUCUCCUCACCCCUCCUCGGGGCCCCGGGACCGCAGCCCCACGAAUCUGGGGGGCAGCGGCCGUCUCCCGCUGUGUGUAGAGGCCGCCACCGGCCCCGGCGAGCACGGCCUGAGGACUCGCGGGCCCCGGGCCGCGUCGUGGGCAUACUGUUACGAGCUCACAUACGUUGAGAGUAACCUUUCAGCAGAACAGUUUGAGUUAAAAUAAAGGGAUUGAAAAAGAGUACAAUGACCAAAAAAAUCUAUAAAAAUGCAAUUGCGCUAAUAUAAUUUUAUCACUUAUUUAAAAAUUUAGUCGACCCAAAAGACUACCAAGUGUGAAAUUAAGGAACAGCUCCUCACUUUUAUGGAAAUCACUCUUCCUCACUUGUCUAAUAGCCUGAUUUUGUCAGAUCAUUUAUUUCCAUGGUUUUAAAAUGAGCUUGACAGACAGAAUUUUAUAACACCACUUUACUGCAAAUAAGAACAUCAUUUUCGCUUAUUAAAACUGAAGCUUAGAGAAAGCAUUAAAAUUAACAGUUCACUCCGCUUUAACCUUUCGAAUACUGCCGUGACUUUACACCGGAGAUCGUGAGCACCGGAGGCCGGCGGUCCCGGGGUCGGUGCUGGAGGUGCGACGGGGCGGACAGCGCAGGCCGGCAGGGGGCUCGCGGAGGACACGCACACCCAACCGGAAAUGGUCGUGAUGGGGCCCAGAGGAGCGCCCCCGCGGCCCGGCCAUCAGCACCAGCCUCGGGAAGCCCAGCGCAAGGCCCCCCGGGAUUCCCGGGGCGGCACUUCCUUUAACGUGGAGCAAGGGGCCUGCUUUUCUACCCAAGAGACUUAAGAAAUUAAUCGAGGGCUAGGCUCGCAGUCUCCCGCGCUGGUCCUUCCUGCCUUUAUUCAACAAAUAUUGUUGAGCACCGUCCUUCCACGUACCCGGCACCGUUCCAGGCCCGUGAGAUGACACCUGAGUUAGACCAAGUCCCUGUCCUUGGGCGGCUUCGCCUGUCACUGGGGGAGACAGACCAGACUCCAAUACGUAUCGAAUCUCAUGCCUGGGAGGGUGACGCCCGCUGCAGAGAAAACCCAAGUAGAGCAGAGGCAGACAUAUAGUGUUUGUUGAACUGAAGAGAUCUUCUUCUGACUCAGGACUCUGGGCAGGCAGUUGCAAGGUGGCCUGUCCCGGCCAUCACAAGAGCCUGUGUCCUCUGUUUCGGGUGCCCUGGGGGUCAGGCCUGGGUCAGGCGCAUUAUUGGGCAGAACAGUUGGAAUCUGCAUUUCUGCGCCUGAGAGCUUUGUCCAAAACCUCAGAAAGCUGCUCUUUCCUGAUCUCCGGCCCGAGUGCCGGGGAAUUAACAUGCCUGAAAGCAGCCAUGUUUCCAUGGACAGUUCCAGCCAUGGACUGGCGGGAACUGGUGUGGCAACGUCCCUACUCUUCGCCCUUUAGAGGGACAAAUCUGAGCUGUGUCUUCCCGAGUCUUCCUGUGGGAUUCAGCUCCCGGUGCCCACUCUGCUGGUUGCUCCUGAAUGCGCCCUGGACGACCUGCAUCCCCUCCCUCCGCCCUGACCUGUCUCCCCUGCACCUUCCCAGGUCAGUUACGUGCCCUAAAUCCUUGGCCCAGAGUCUGGGAAAUCUGGUCCAAGACAGAGACCCGGGUCAGACAGCUGAGACUGACGGCUUUUGCUUUUCUCUGAAUCCCCGAUAGUAUCACCUUGUGGGCGCCGCCUAGAACUCGCUGCCUCAGGACACCUUCGAGAGGCUCCCGCAGGACCUCUCCGCACAGGCACUGACCCGGUCUGCCAGGAGCAGCCUAACCAGGACUUCCCUGGGGCCCCUCGCGUCCGGCCCUAGACGUCCCUGGUGCUGCUGCCUAUGACCGCACGGAACUUGCCGACAAUCUUGCACCCCUGCAAGUGAGCUGCGCGUGAGGCCACUCUGACCGACGUGGGAGGAGCCUUCCUUCCCCAGGGGUGGAUGCUUCUGAGACUCGGGGUCCCACGACCCGCCUAUGGGAUGGGUCGCCCCCUUGACUACGCCCCCUUGAAUUUCCUCUGCCUCUUCUUUCCCCCCCUCCCUCACCUCUGUUCCCAGGGUGAUGUUUCCACAUCAACUACUCACAUACACGGCACGGUCUCAGCUCUGCCCUCAGAGGGACCCUGGCUAAGGCACCAAAGGGGGUGAGGAUUGUUCCCUGUGUUCCUGGUGGGUUUGCCAAGCCAGCUGUCCUGGGUCUGGGCUUGGCUUCACAGCACGCAGCCCCCCCCCCCCGCCCCGGUACCUUUUAUUUCUUCCCAGCCACCCCGAAUAGGCCGUGCGCUUGGAUGCUCCCGCGCCUUGGCUCAUGGCACUUCCUCCACUCCCAGUGUCCUUCCUCCCCAAGGGCAGGUCUGUCUGUAGUCACAUCUGCAUGUCGAGGUCUGCGUAGCCACCUCCGGCUCUCCUAGAUUGUGCUCCCUGAAGCCGCUGACCCCCCCUCCCUGGAGCACGCCCCGUAUCCUGGAGUACCCCCACCCCAAAAGCCACGGUGCCCUCACCGCCACCAGGCUCAGCUCAGACAGCUGUCAACACGCGUUUACGGACCCCCUGCCCUGUGUCCUGCACUGUGCCAGGUGCCACGGGCGGGGCGGGUGGCGGGAGCAGGGCCAGAGUCCAAUGGGAGGCUACCUCUGGCUAACCCAGCACCUCAGGGCUGUCCUGGUGCUGGGAAGGCCGAUGGCAGGGGGCAACCGGGUGGCAGGGACGCCUCUGUCCCUUAGGUAAUGUUACUUCCUCUGAAUGGAGGGCCGUCUCUAUACCGGGGACCUUCGCUGUGCCUGGCACACAGGAGAUAAUCAAGAAAUGAUAGAUGAAUGGGAAAUGAAGGAACGUAUAAAAAAAAAAAAGGAACACGCCUGGUACCUGUUUGCUGUGUCUGUUACAGCGUCGGCGUGCCUCCGUCUCGAUGCCCCUGAGGUACCCCCAGGCAUAAUCACUCACUCCUGAGGCCCCCUGGGCAAACAUCUGUCGCUACUUUGUGCUACAAUCUGCUUACAGGGAUUCUUCACCACGCAGGGAGGACCUGAAAGCAAGGCCGCCGGGCGGGGAUUUGUAGAAACCAGCCCCCGGGCGGCUCCCCGGACACCUGCUACCCUUGCCAUCCCUCAGCAAGCCUAUGAGGUGGGAGCCACUUUAUUUCACAGAAAUCGGGGGAAGCUGAGACUCCAGGAGGCUGAAUGGCAGGGUAAGACCACAGGCCGGUGGUGGUCGAGAAUGGCUGCACACCCAGACCUGGCUGCCCCUAACUCUGAAGUUGUCACUCGGCUCUCCUCCCCCAGCCCCCCGUACCCCACCCUCACCCCUACCGUAUUCUGAUGGGCUGUCGCUUCCUGCCCUGGGAGAUCUCACCUCCUGUGACUUGGGGUCCAAGGUGAGGCUCCUUCCUAAGGCCGUGAACAGAGGAGGGACCCCCUGACGCAUCUCUCAACGCCAGCCCCUGCCACUGCCUGAUGCCGCGUCAGCGCUCCGUGGACCGCGGGUACCUGCUUCGUUUGGGUGUUGAGGCCAGGCCCGGGCAUUACCCUCAGACGUGGCGAUUCGCCCCAGGGUUCCUAAGGAGAAGGAACUCCUGGUCCACUGCAGGAAGGACACACGGUUUACCCACGCACCCUUCUGCCGCCACCGUGCCCAACGGUGCGCUGACACCCUCGGUCCCCGGGAGCUCGUGGGUGACUGUGGCACCAGCCCAAGCCACGCGGGGCCACGAGGGAGCAGCGGUGGUGAGAUUCCGGUGCAAAGUGCGGACAUGGUGGCCCGGUGGCCCUGCCACGCCUCCGAGAAAGAGCACAGACCUCAGGGGUGGGGACGGGGACUUGAAAAUAGGCCCAGGCGGGAUCUUGAAGGAGACGCCAGUGCCCUGGGCCAUCAGCGAGGUCCUGGAGACGCUACCUUGGUGAGUGAUAGCGGGGCCUGGAGGGCUGGGGGAUCCAGGCCCCUUGGCUCUCCACGGCAGCUGGGGUUUCAGAGUGGCUUCCCACGUGUCCCGCAGAGGGGGCAGAGGGGACACCGGGCCUGCCCGGCACACACAGCGGGGAAUUCGGCCCCCUCCCAGCUCUGGGGACGGGGCUUUUCUGGAGCCAGGCCUCACCCUAGAUGUGUGCUGUUUGAAUUAACCCCCAUCCUUGCUGACAGUGGAGGGGACCUCAGAAAGGCCUGGGCCAUGCGGUCGGAGGUCCCCACUGCUUGUGGACGGCUGACAUUUUAUUUCCUGUUUCCCCUUUGCCAGUCCCCAGGGUGCCAGGGACACAUGGCACCACAGAGCCGACCUUCUGUAUCUUUUUUUCCCCCCAGAAAGCCCCAGGCCCUGCUGUAGGCGAGGAAACCCAGACUCUCCCUGGUUACAAGGCAGUUGGGCCCACACCCAUCUUCUCCCAUCAAAAGUGACCUAAGCCCCUCCUGCUGAGCCACCUGCCCUGGGUCCCUCCUGAUCCAGUGUGGCCCGCCAUGACUGCUAACUUUUAGACUCCCUGGUCCUUGCGGGCAGACUUGAAUUUCAGCUGCUCUCCUGCCUCGAGGGUCUCCCGCUGGCUCCCGUGCAGGUGGGAGGGCCAGCCUGCAGCCCCGGCCAGGCCCUGGGGCAGGGGCGGGAGCGAGAAGAUUCAGGGGUGACUUUUGGAGAACUCUGGCCCGCAGCAGACCAAGCCUUUUGAGCAAGGUUGCACAGAACGGGUCAGAGCCAGCCAGGUGACUCGGUCCCCGUGCGUCCCACAGAAGCACAGGGCGAGAACGAGAACUCACAAGCUAUCCCUCCCAAACGUGAGAAAGCAGAGAGCUGCUACAGCUUGAGCAUCACCAGCCUUGCUGAGCAGUAUGUGUUUACAAAGGCGGGAGCUCAGAAACGCUUCCAUUGUGGAGAAACAAAGCCUCAGAAAUAGGAAAUUCGAAAGCCAGCCCUCGGCCACUCCUGGAGGGAGCGGGCCUCCCUGGGGAUCGGCGCGGAGCGGCCUGGCCGGCUCGGUUCCCAGCGUAUCACGGUUUCACUGCACCUGUUGGCAUAGCUUUGUGGUGAUUCACUCCCGCCUCCUUCUCAGGCCUUGCUGCGUCCUAGCCCGAAGGCGAGCGCACCCGCGAGCACAGGGCCCUGGCGCCAAGCACCCCCCAAGCGCGCGUGGCCCCAAAGCCCCCCAUUUAACCUCUCUCGCAAGUGGUCCUGGUGACGCUGAGGCCAAGUGGGUUUUGCUGGCGGGUCUCAGGAGCCCGCUGGUCAGCGGGUGACCCACUCACCCCGUCCAGAUCGACCGGCUGCCCGGCACCUGCCUGCCAAAGUUCCCAAAGCCUCAGAGCAGAAUUAGCAUGGGAGGCGUCUAGUGAGUCCCCCCCCCCCCGCCCCGUUCUGUAGAUCGGGCUCUAGGAGUGGUGUUCAGAGAAGGGCAGGGUCUCUUUCUGCUUCAGUCACCUCCGAUUGUCCCCUGAACCUCCAGGCCCUGCCGCUCAGCAGACGAAUUGCCUGCGUGUCUGGGUAAGGAAUUGUGCUUAAGUUUGCGAUCUCGCUGGCAAGCUGCCUUGCCAUCCUCGCAGGGAAACGUCCACGCCUCGCGGGGACAGGAAGUGAGAACCCCUUCCUCACCCCCUGCAGGCCGACAAGCGGGCUGGGCUGCGGCCAGGCCCUUGCACACAGUCGCGGCUGUGGACGAGCGUCAUCACCCUCCGCGGCGCGUGCACAAGCACACCUGCCUGAACACUGGUUUUGUACAAGAGUGUGAUCGCCUCGCCCAGGCCGUGGCUGAUCUGCUUUCUCAGGCCCUCACCCCGGCCCUUGCAAGAGGUUGGGGCGUUUGGGGGGCAUCCGGCCGUUUCUCCACUGAGGCCAUCCCUGCAGUUUUUCUUCCUCUUAUCCCUUCCCUCCCCUCCCUUCCUCCCUGCCUGCUCUCUCACUGUCCCUCUCUUCCCAUCCCCCACCCCCCAAUCCCGAACAGCUGGACGCGUAUCUCUGCUUCUUUCUUCAGGACGGUUCCCUAACAGAGGCCGGGCUGGAACAAAGGGACACGCGUUGGAAGUCUUAAUGCCACGUUGUCCUCCGAAAGUGCAUGUGUGUUUUGUAAACCUCGGCUGUUAUAUCCCAUCCGCUCCGGUUGGCAGUAUGACAGAGGCACCCUGCAAGUGAUAGCAAAGCCUCCCUGGUGACCGUGACCGUCCCUGCCCCUGGGGACGCCCUGUGCUGGGACGUCCCUGUGCACCUGUAAUGCGUGUCCUUACCCUGAGCUCGCAAGUAACACUUAAGGAUGUUUUUCUGUUAAAGUAAAUAAGUGAACACUUAAAGUACACUAGGAUUCUAUAAAGAUCCAUAUACUAUGUGUUUUUUUUUUAACUUUGUUUAUUUUGAGUGAGAG
Long non-coding RNA from Felis catus (domestic cat), 9133 nucleotides. RefSeq lists it as uncharacterized. The transcript has 3 exons. NCBI's taxonomy places the organism in Eukaryota, Metazoa, Chordata, Mammalia, Carnivora, Felidae. The record is from RefSeq and is a predicted model, not a curated record.